UAUUAAUAGCACAAAGUCAUUAGUGCUAUUAGGUUUUCGGCCUUUAAAUGAAGGAAUGAGCUGUUAGGAUGAUAGUGAUCUCCAGGGUUUGUGGGUGGUUGAUGGAAUAGUAUGACCCAAAGGGUGAAAAUGGUCAAAAGGUAGAUCUAACAUCAAAAAUUUGGUUGCACAAGGUGCUUGGUACUAUUGAUAGCAUUGUGUGUGUGUGUGUAUAUAUAUAAAAUUGAGCUCUUAUGCUUUUAAAAGUAUCGAGUCAUUAGUGCUUGUAGGUUUUAGCCCUUGAAUUAAAAAAAUGUGCAGUUAGAAAGAUAGUGGUCCCUUAGGGUUGAGUGGGUGGUUGGUAGAAUAGUAUGAUCUAAUAUGUGAAUAUAGUCAAAGAGGUAGAUCUAACGGCGGAAAGCUUACAAGCACCAAGUGCUUGGUGUGAGGGCUAAGAUUUUUUUUAAUAGUGUAAAUUAGUG
RNAcentral lists this long non-coding RNA (461 nucleotides) under Ananas comosus (pineapple). RNAcentral's name for it is "long non-coding RNA (ACOM_LNC033305)". Lineage: Eukaryota; Viridiplantae; Streptophyta; Magnoliopsida; Poales; Bromeliaceae. The record is from RNAcentral.